Austrofundulus limnaeus is the source of this 766-nucleotide long non-coding RNA. RefSeq lists it as uncharacterized. The transcript has 4 exons. The record is from RefSeq and is a predicted model, not a curated record. NCBI's taxonomy places the organism in Eukaryota, Metazoa, Chordata, Actinopteri, Cyprinodontiformes, Rivulidae.
ACAAAUAAAGGAAAACAUAAAGACUACUCAACAAUAUUUAUUUAUCUUAUUUUUAAUCAAAAGACUUUGGAAAACCAAUUAUAUCUUGGCAUGAUAACAUCACAGGAGACAAGAGUCAAAUCUAUAAGAAAUCUGCAAUCAGUUCUUGUUCAUAAACAAUAUGUCAACAGACCUCAAGAAAUAAAUURUAAAUGACAAUUAUGCUGUUAUUUCCACAGCAUUUUUAUAGUUUUCAGUCUUAAUAGGGACAAAACAAGUUUGUCUAGUUUUCUCAAAUCAUGCACAUUGUUAAUUGUUAAUUCUAAAUUGUCACUUUGUAAGAGAGAACUUGUCUCGUUUGUCUCUAUGUGAACUGGUGGUGAACUUGUGAUCUGUCCAGAAUGUCCUCCACAUCUCACCCAGUGACUGCUGGAACCAGCUCGCCCAGUGACCCUGAAUAGAAAAGGGAGGACAUGAAGAACUGAAAAAAAAAAGACAUUUGAGACUAAGUCUGUACUGCAAACAGUGGAUCUGCUCUCAGGCAGCACUACUCAGUUUCCUCCGCUCUGUCUUGAUGCGAAACACCUACAGCAAAUCUACCAACACAUUGGUGAUCCACUGCAGCCAGGCAGGGGAGCAAAAACGACUGAUUGGGACUAGAACUGCCUUUUGGGACCAUCUCCUCGUCUGUGCUGUGUCUCAGAACCGAGCUUCCUCAUCACAGAGCACACCUCCCCACCCCAYCACUCUGGCAGCAACAACUAGCAAGCACCCGGUGAAAACCAUG